AGUCCCAUGACAUGUAUUUUCCGCGCAUCUAUAGAUUUUCAGUACUGGCAGUGAAUUUCGGAACACAGCCAAAGUUUCUAUCACUGGUGCUAUAUAGGAAGUUUGUGUGUGUGUGGGUAGUUUCGGAUAGCGGUAGCACUGCCUUUGAUUGAUUAAAAAGGACAAAAGCUCCAGGUCAAAAUUCUAAAAGAAGAAUAAUAAUUAAUGUUCGUUGUUAGAAUAUACGUGUAUAGACGUAUAUUUUUUUAAUAAUUAACAUUAAUGUCAAUAUUUUAGAGUAAGAUUAGGUUAGGUUAGAUUUUUAGCGGGGUGGAGGCUUUGCAGAUAUUUGUAUUUAAUUUUUUAUUAUAAAACCAGUUAUUUUUAAAUAUUUCUAAACCAUAUUUCAUAUAAAUUUCGUACCCUUUUACGAAACUGCGUAUACUUUAUAUGCUCGUGUGCUGUGUACAUAUUGUACAUUUUCUAAUCUCCAAACUGUCACUUUUUAGCACUUUAUAAUUUUUGUUUUAUUUAAGAGCGACAAUUUUAACUUUCAUAUUCGUGUUUUGCGCAAUAAAAUAUAUAAUAUUCUGAGAUUUCAGGUAAAUCAGUGAGGAAGAUCGUCUGCUUAACAAUUACCUAAUAUCUAUUUUUAUAGGAGCAACAUCUUAUCUCCUACUAUCUAUAGAUAAAGCUGGACAGAUAGCAGAAUGAAAGAAACUUUCUCGAUUGAAUUACAAAAUGAUUCCUACAACACCCAUUUUGCAGUCAAUAAAUAACUGAAGAAAUCUUCUCUACAAUUAUUCAACAGUAGACAAUGGACAGUGUGGAACAAACAAUGGAAGAAACUUCGUCCACAUGGCUAAGAUGGUCUUGGACAACCUUAUAAGUCUUGUAAGGACAAGUCUUAGAAAUCUUGUAAUCUAGCAGUCUUUCAACGUUGACAGUCUAACAAAGUAAUGAACAAGCUUAAUUAAUAUUUUAAUUACAAUUUUAAUUAUUAGUUAAGACUAGGAAAAAUUAAUGAUAAUUUGAGUACAUAUUAAUGUAUGUUUAAAAAAUUCAAUUUUGAUUUACUGAUAUUGUUGUUUUAAAAAUAGUGUGAUUACACAGUAUUUGUAAACAAAUAGUAUAACAGAGUCUCGAUUAAAAUUAACAUUUUAUUGAGAAUUAAUAUAUAUUUUCCAAGUAUUUUUUAUCAUUUUUUUAAAUUUUCUCAUAUUUUAUUUUCAUAUUUGUUAAUGUUGUAAUAUAUAAAUUUUAUUAUUAUUGUUAUAUUAUUAGUAUUAUGCACAAAGUGUAUAUCAGUUUAUUAUUAUUAGUAUUGUUAAAGUUUAAAUCAUAUAUUCAGAGCACUGGGAGAAAUAUCCCCAAUUUCAAAACAAUAAAAGUAUAUUAUACUAAGAUAUCAUAUUAUUUUUAACUUCACAUAUUAUGUGUAAGGCUAAGAAAUGUGGAAGCAUUUGUAAUUAAGACAUAUGUGCUCUUGGUAAUAAGACAUAUUGCAUUGUAUCAAAUCAUUUAAUAAAAUAAUUAUAUUAGAAUAUAAAAUGUAAGAAUGAUAUAUAUUCCAGACAGCAUAAAAUUUCUAGAAGAUGUUCUGAGGAUGUUCUCAGGACAUAGAGACAUUCUCAGAAAGUCUUGAGGAUAUCCUGUGGAGAUUUAUGCUGUUAGGAAUAAGUCUGAUAAAAUGUUACCUUACAUUUAAUUGUGAUUUGAUUUAAAACUGUAAUUAUUAUAUUAUAUUGUAUUAUGUAUUAUUUAAAAAUAUAUAUUUUAUUUUAUAUA
Molecule: long non-coding RNA, 1767 nt
Organism: Odontomachus brunneus
Lineage: Eukaryota; Metazoa; Arthropoda; Insecta; Hymenoptera; Formicidae
Exons: 2
Source: RefSeq, a predicted model, not a curated record